UCCGUAGGCGGACUAAUAAGUCAGGGGUGAAAUCCCACAGCUCAACUGUGGAACUGCCUUUGAUACUGUUAGUCUUGAGUUAUAUGGAAGUAGAUAGAAUGUGUAGUGUAGCGGUGAAAUGCUUAGAGAUUACACAGAAUACCGAUUGCGAAGGCAGUCUACUACGUAUAUACUGACGCUAAUGGACGAAAGCGUGGGGAGCGAACAGGAUUAGAUACCCUGGUAGUC
This 228-nucleotide ribosomal RNA is filed under the name uncultured bacterium. RNAcentral describes it as "partial 16S ribosomal RNA". It matches the Rfam family "Bacterial small subunit ribosomal RNA", at positions 568 to 795 of the family's 1533-position model. The record is from RNAcentral.